GGCUGUUAUUUUUUACUUACUUGAAAAAAAAAAAAAAAAGCUUGGGGCUAAGAUACCCAUCAUUUGACACCCAGGAUAAACUUAUCUUAUAAUGUCGUUUCGCAGAAAACUCGUCAGCAUGACAAAUAGUAAGGCAUGUUUGUGUAUUUUCCUUUUCUUCCGCUUUCCUGCUAAACUCCCAACAAUUGUGCUCAAUCAUUGCAUUGCUCGACACGUAAUCCUAUUUCACAGUGAAAUCCAGUUUGAAUGAGGAGCUGCAGGCAACAGACGGGCCCGGUGAGAUGUCAGAGACCUGGUCUGCACCCUUCAUAGGGAAUACGCCCGCCACCUGGAGGCCAACCUGGGCUCAAGUCAAAGUUUCCCCACUUUCAGAUGAUGUCAAUUAAAGUCUAUGAGCUUGUAGCCUGAAGUACUGCGUGUGGCCAGAUGUGUUUGCUGAGUGAAGAACAACUCUGAGCUUCUGCAGCCACUAGGAGGUGCUCUGAUCAAAGCAAACCUCUGAACACCUCACCAUGAACUCCUCUGGUGUGGGUAUCAGUAACCAUCCGUCAAACAUGGGAGACUAAUGUCUGACACCGAGAACAAGGUGUUUUCUUUGCUGCAAGUGUUUCCUCUACGGUGACGGGCUGAAAGGAAAGAAACGGGUCUAUUUCCAGCUGCUGUGGGUUUAGGACAUAUAGAUCGGAUCCAGCUUCAGGUCUGGAACAUAUCUAUCUUGUUUCAUGAAGCAAUCCUGCACCAUCUGUAUACCACAGCAACACUAGGAGGAUAUAAAUAUAUGAAGCACUUCCAGCUCACAGUGGACCAUGAGCUGCUCCGUGGCAGCGCAGUCAAUCACCGUGUCCCCUACUAAUCAACGUCUUAAGAGGAGAGGGCACAAUAACAGAGACGGGUCAGGAGGGAAGCAGGAGGGAUGACAGACACUGCCACUGG
Long non-coding RNA from Gasterosteus aculeatus aculeatus (three-spined stickleback), 933 nucleotides. NCBI's taxonomy places the organism in Eukaryota, Metazoa, Chordata, Actinopteri, Perciformes, Gasterosteidae. The record is from Ensembl.